RNAcentral lists this ribosomal RNA (440 nucleotides) under uncultured bacterium. RNAcentral describes it as "partial 16S ribosomal RNA". It matches the Rfam family "Bacterial small subunit ribosomal RNA", at positions 338 to 795 of the family's 1533-position model. The record is from RNAcentral.
CCUACGGGAGGCAGCAGUGGGGGAUAUUGCACAAUGGGGGAAACCCUGAUGCAGCGACGCCGCGUGAGUGAAGAAGUCUUUCGGUAUGUAAAGCUCUAUCAGCAGGGAAGAAAAUUACAGUACCUGACCACUAAUCCCCGGCUAACUACGUGCCAGCCGCCGCGGUAAUACGGAGGGGGCCAGCGUUAUCCGGAUGUACUGGGUGUAACGGGAGCGUAGACGGUUAGGUAAGUCUGGAGUGAAAGCCCGGGGCCCAACCCCGGGACUGCUUUGGAAACUGUGGAACUGGAGUACAGGAGGGGUAGGCGGAAUUCCUGGUGUAGCGGUGAAAUGCGUAGAUAUCAGGAGGAACACCGGUGGCGAAGGCGGCCUGCUGGACUGAAACUGACGUUGAGGCUCGAAAGCGUGGGGAGCAAACAGGAUUAGAUACCCGAGUAGUC